Molecule: ribosomal RNA, 254 nt
Filed under: uncultured bacterium
Lineage: Bacteria
Description: partial 16S ribosomal RNA
Rfam family: Bacterial small subunit ribosomal RNA
Source: RNAcentral
UACGUAGGGUGCGAGCGUUGUCCGGAAUUAUUGGGCGUAAAGAGCUCGUAGGCGGUGUGUCACGUCGGCCGUGAAAACCUGCAGCUUAACUGUGGGCGUGCGGUCGAUACGGGCAUCACUGGAGUUCGGCAGGGGAGACUGGAAUUCCUGGUGUAGCGGUGAAAUGCGCAGAUAUCAGGAGGAACACCGGUGGCGAAGGCGGGUCUCUGGGCCGAUACUGACGCUGAGAUGCGAAAGCGUGGGGAGCAAACAGG